This 1500-nucleotide ribosomal RNA is filed under the name uncultured bacterium. Its description in RNAcentral is "bacterial SSU rRNA". It matches the Rfam family "Bacterial small subunit ribosomal RNA". The record is from RNAcentral.
GAGUUUGAUCCUGGCUCAGAUUGAACGCUGGCGGCAGGCUUAACACAUGCAAGUCGAGCGGAGAGAGGUAGCUUGCUACUGAUCUUAGCGGCGGACGGGUGAGUAAUGCUUAGGAAUCUGCCUAUUAGUGGGGGACAACAUUUCGAAAGGAAUGCUAAUACCGCAUACGUCCUACGGGAGAAAGCAGGGGAUCUUCGGACCUUGCGCUAAUAGAUGAGCCUAAGUCGGAUUAGCUAGUUGGUGGGGUAAAGGCCUACCAAGGCGACGAUCUGUAGCGGGUCUGAGAGGAUGAUCCGCCACACUGGGACUGAGACACGGCCCAGACUCCUACGGGAGGCAGCAGUGGGGAAUAUUGGACAAUGGGCGCAAGCCUGAUCCAGCCAUGCCGCGUGUGUGAAGAAGGCCUUAUGGUUGUAAAGCACUUUAAGCGAGGAGGAGGCUACUUUAGUUAAUACCUAGAGAUAGUGGACGUUACUCGCAGAAUAAGCACCGGCUAACUCUGUGCCAGCAGCCGCGGUAAUACAGAGGGUGCAAGCGUUAAUCGGAUUUACUGGGCGUAAAGCGCGCGUAGGCGGCUAAUUAAGUCAAAUGUGAAAUCCCCGAGCUUAACUUGGGAAUUGCAUUCGAUACUGGUUAGCUAGAGUGUGGGAGAAGGAAUGAGAAUUCCAGGUGUAGCGGUGAAAUUGCGUAGAAGAUCUGAGGGAAUACCGAUGGCGAAAGGCAGCCAUCUGGCCUAACACUGACGCUGAGGUGCGAAAGCAUGGGGACCAAACAGGAUUAGAUACCCUGGUAGUCCAUGCCGUAAACGAUGUCUACUAGCCGUUGGGGCCUUUGAGGCUUUAGUGGCGCAGCUAACGCGAUAAGUAGACCGCCUGGGGAGUACGGUCGCAAGACUAAAACUCAAAUGAAUUGACGGGGGCCCGCACAAGCGGUGGAGCAUGUGGUUUAAUUCGAUGCAACGCGAAGAACCUUACCUGGCCUUGACAUAGUAAGAACUUUCCAGAGAUGGAUUGGUGCCUUCGGGAACUUACAUACAGGUGCUGCAUGGCUGUCGUCAGCUCGUGUCGUGAGAUGUUGGGUUAAGUCCCGCAACGAGCGCAACCCUUUUCCUUAUUUGCCAGCGAGUAAUGUCGGGAACUUUAAGGAUACUGCCAGUGACAAACUGGAGGAAGGCGGGGACGACGUCAAGUCAUCAUGGCCCUUACGGCCAGGGCUACACACGUGCUACAAUGGUCGGUACAAAGGGUUGCUACCUAGCGAUAGGAUGCUAAUCUCAAAAAGCCGAUCGUAGUCCGGAUUGGAGUCUGCAACUCGACUCCAUGAAGUCGGAAUCGCUAGUAAUCGCGGAUCAGAAUGCCGCGGUGAAUACGUUCCCGGGCCUUGUACACACCGCCCGUCACACCAUGGGAGUUUGUUGCACCAGAAGUAGCUAGCCUAACUGCAAAGAGGGCGGUUACCACGGUGUGGCCGAUGACUGGGGUGAAGUCGUAACAAGGUAAC